RNAcentral lists this ribosomal RNA (229 nucleotides) under uncultured bacterium. Its description in RNAcentral is "partial 16S ribosomal RNA". It matches the Rfam family "Bacterial small subunit ribosomal RNA", at positions 103 to 334 of the family's 1533-position model. The record is from RNAcentral.
CGGGUGAGUAAUGUCUGGGAAACUGCCUGAUGGAGGGGGAUAACUGCUGGAAACGGUAGCUAAUACCGCAUAACGUCGCAAGACCAAAGAGGGGGACCUUCGGGGCCUCUUGCCAUCGGAUGUGCCCAGAUGGGAUUAGCUAGUAGGUGGGGUAACGGCUCACCUAGGCGACGAUCCCUAGCUGGUCUGAGAGGAUGGCCAGCCACACUGGAACUGAGACACGGUCCAG